AUUUAUGUAGAAAUCAUAACAAAAAAUACUAAUACAAAUUCUCUCUAUUUUUUCAUUUCUGCUUUUUAUAUAAUUUCAUAUUACGUUAUCAACACGAGUCUCAGCAAAAUUCCUUCAACAAGUAUUUAAAGUGAAUGCUGCAAAUUUUUAUCCAACGAGGCGUGGAAGAAGUCCUGACCCCAGUCGUGGUCGAGGUCGAGGUCGAUGUCGAGGUCGAGAUCGUGGUCGUGGAAGGUAUUUUAAUCAGAGUUAUCAUCUUGCAAUAAAUAAUAAUCCUCCACACCAGCAGUGCAAAAGGAGGGGGAAGCUCCUGAAGCAGCUACAAGGACGAAAUCUGAAAAUAAAUGUUAUCGGUGUGGAGGAAAGGGACACUGGACGCGUACCUAUCUUACACCAAAACAUCUGGUAAAAGUAUAUCAGGCGUCCCUUAAAAGGUCAGAAAAUGAUGUUGAAACAAAUUUCCUCCUAGAAGACAACGUUGAACCCAUGAACUUGGAAAUGUUAGAUUUUUCUACAGUUCCUGAAAAACAUGUAAAUCACUCUCUAGGUGAUAAUAAUGACAUAAUAUGAUUAUGUUAAUUUUUUGUUAAUAUUAUAUUAGUUUAAUUUUC
Molecule: long non-coding RNA, 611 nt
Organism: Capsicum annuum
Lineage: Eukaryota; Viridiplantae; Streptophyta; Magnoliopsida; Solanales; Solanaceae
Exons: 2
Source: RefSeq, a predicted model, not a curated record